AUUUGCAUCGACAUGCGAAUGAUAGAGAUUGUUGAUUAAGUGAUCUCAUUCCAUUAUUUUAUUUUCAAAAUAAAUGUUACAAUGAUCUUUAUUGAAACUAAUUUCAUAAUCAUCCUGUGCUAAGCAUGAAACAGAAAUCAAAUUUUUGCUUGCAUUAGGUACACAAUAACAGUCUCUUAGUUUUAGACAGCAACCAGACGG
Molecule: long non-coding RNA, 201 nt
Filed under: Elaeis guineensis (African oil palm)
Lineage: Eukaryota; Viridiplantae; Streptophyta; Magnoliopsida; Arecales; Arecaceae
Description: long non-coding RNA (EGUI_LNC001758)
Source: RNAcentral